This 171-nucleotide long non-coding RNA is filed under the name Portunus trituberculatus (swimming crab). RNAcentral's name for it is "uncharacterized LOC123514762, transcript variant X2". The record is from RNAcentral. Lineage: Eukaryota; Metazoa; Arthropoda; Malacostraca; Decapoda; Portunidae.
UGCAGCCCAAACUGAGGGACACCGGCGCCUCCAGUGAAAAAGCUGAGCGGGUUGAAAGCACCCUGAGGCCCUCCUGUAACAAAGACGGCGUGAGGGUGUGUGUGUGUGUGUGUGUGUGUGUGUGUGUGUGUGUGUUUUGUCAGAGAGAGAGAGAGAGAGAGAGAGAGAGAG